AAACCAUGGUUUGGGCACCUCUGCAGUAAAGAUUUGAAUCUCUCCCAUGUCUCAUAGAAAGGUUCAUCAGACCCUUGAGAAAAAUUAGCAAUGGCUGAUUUU
Non-coding RNA from Glycine soja, 102 nucleotides. NCBI's taxonomy places the organism in Eukaryota, Viridiplantae, Streptophyta, Magnoliopsida, Fabales, Fabaceae. The record is from Rfam.